Molecule: ribosomal RNA, 565 nt
Filed under: uncultured fungus
Lineage: Eukaryota; Fungi
Description: eukaryotic LSU rRNA
Rfam family: Eukaryotic large subunit ribosomal RNA
Source: RNAcentral
GGAAAAGAAACCAACAGGGAUUGCCCUAGUAACGGCGAGUGAAGCGGCAACAGCUCAAAUUUGAAAUCUGGCUUCGGCCCGAGUUGUAAUUUGCAGAGGAUGCUUCUGGCGCGGUGCCUUCCGAGUUCCCUGGAGCGGGACGCCACAGAGGGUGAGAGCCCCGUAUGGUCGGACACCAAGCCUGUGUGAAGCUCCUUCGACGAGUCGAGUAGUUUGGGAAUGCUGCUCUAAAUGGGAGGUAAAUCUCUUCUAAAGCUAAAUACCGGCCAGAGACCGAUAGCGCACAAGUAGAGUGAUCGAAAGAUGAAAAGCACCUUGAAAAGGGGGUUAAAUAGUACGUGAAAUUGUUGAAAGGGAAGCACUUGUGACCAGACUUGGGCCGGGCGGCUCAUCAGGGGUUCUCCCCUGUGCACUCCGCCCGGCACAGGCCAGCAUCGGUUCUCGUGGGGGGAUAAGACCGUUAGGAACGUAGCACCCUCCGGGGUGUGUUAUAGCCUGGCGGACGAUACCCCCGUGGGGACCGAGGUUCGCGCUCCGCAAGGAUGCUGGCGUAAUGGUCACCAGU